Molecule: non-coding RNA, 1637 nt
Organism: Prunus avium (sweet cherry)
Lineage: Eukaryota; Viridiplantae; Streptophyta; Magnoliopsida; Rosales; Rosaceae
Source: RefSeq, a predicted model, not a curated record
AGUUUGAACAGUUGUCUGUUGUGGAGGAAAAAUUAAAGAAGUUGCUUGAACAAGUGGAGGCCCUUGGUGAAGCUGGGAAGAGGGAUGAAGCUGAAGUGCCCAUGAGAAAGAUGCCUAAUAAUAAUGGUGUGGUGAAUCCUGAAGCUGGUCAGGGCCGUCAGGUCCAGGGUAGUUCUAGUUCCCCUACUCUCUUCGGUAAUACCCAAUCAAACUGGUAUAGUGUUUUACUCCAGCAAAUCUCAGUCUAUGGGGUAGCCGCUGGCUACUGCUUAUCUGCAUCGUUGCUUUCCAUCAUCAACAAAUGGGCUGUCGUGAAAUUUCCUUAUCCUGGGGCACUAACUGCUUUACAGUAUUUUACAAGUGUUAUUGGGGUCCUCGUUUGUGGCUGGCUUAAGUUGAUAGAGUAUGAUUCGCUUUACCUACUUACCAUGUGGCGCUUCCUACCAGCGGCAAUUAUAUUCUACCUCUCUCUCUUCACUAACAGUGAGCUCCUUCUCCAUGCUAAUGUUGACACUUUCAUUGUCUUUCAUUCUGUUGUUCCAAUUUUUGUUGCCAUAGGAGAGAUUCUCUUCUUUCACCAACCAUGGCCAUCAAUGAGGACAUGGACCUCACUUGCCACUAUUUUUGGGGGAAGUGUGAUUUUUGUACUAACGGAUUACCAGAGUAACGGCUUAUAGUUGGGCUCUAGCUUACUUGGUAAGCAUGCCCAUAGACUUUGUCUACAUAAAGCAUGUGGUAAUGACCAUUGGUUUAAAUACAUGGGGUCUUGUACUGUAUAACAAUCUUGAGGCUCUUCUACUGUUUCCGUUGGAACUACUUGUAAUGGAUGAAUUGAAGAAGAUUCAGCAUGAAAUCUCAGAUGAAUCGGAUUGGUAUUCUCUUGGGGUGCUUUUGCCAGUGGGGUUAUCAUGUUUAUUUGGUUUAUCCAUCUCUUUCUUUGGGUUUUCUUGCCGAAGGGCUAUUUCUGCAACUGGAUUUACUGUUCUUGGUAUAGUGAACAAAUUAUUAACUGUUGUGAUUAAUCUGGUUAUUUGGGACAAACAUUCAACCUUUGUUGGUACAGUGGGCCUGUUGAUAUGCUUGGCAGGUGGUGUUAUGUAUCAGCAAUCUACAAGCAAGAAGCCUAAGGAUGUGAAUCAAGUAAAAGCACAAGAGACUGAGGAAGAACAACAAAAGUUAAUUGAAAUGAAAAGCAGCUUAGAAAACAAUAACAAUGAGAAAUGGACUGUUGAAUCUGAAGGGGGAAAAUGACAGACGGCUUUUUUCAAGCCUCAUCUGCAGCAUUAUUCGACCGGAGAACACCCUGUCAGAUGAAAUGUUGCAUUCUUUUGUUCUGUAAAUUUAUACUCAUAAAAAAGUCCCAGUAGCAAUAGCAAUGCCUUAUUUGUUGUAAGGAUGCGGGAUGUCUAAAGACAUGCCUGCAAAUAUCAGAAUGUUCCUUGUUUACCCUCAAAGCUUAUUUUUUUCAGUGUGCGUGUAAAAAUCAUGGGAGAUAGUGUUGUAAGCAGUUCGCAAUUCUGUGUAACAUUUUUGAAUGAGUAUUAAAGGGUUUGGUUUACUGGUUUGUAAUUUAACAAAAAGAACAUAUAUUGGUUUGAGGAUUAUAUUUUAGAAUAGGUGAUGCAUGUUUUGCUAUA